AUACUUACCUGGCAAAGGAGACACCAUGAUUACAAAAAAGGUUUUCCCAAGGCAAGGCUCAUCCAUUGCAUUCUGUAUGUGCUGAGCCCUGUGAUUUUCCCGUAUGUGGGAAACUCGACUGCAUAAUUUGUGGUAGUGGGGAGACAAGGAAAAUCAUA
Cricetulus griseus (Chinese hamster) is the source of this 158-nucleotide small nuclear RNA. Its record names the gene U1. It matches the Rfam family "U1 spliceosomal RNA". Rfam says of the family: U1 is a small nuclear RNA (snRNA) component of the spliceosome (involved in pre-mRNA splicing). Its 5' end forms complementary base pairs with the 5' splice junction, thus defining the 5' donor site of an intron. The record is from Ensembl. NCBI's taxonomy places the organism in Eukaryota, Metazoa, Chordata, Mammalia, Rodentia, Cricetidae.